RNAcentral lists this ribosomal RNA (285 nucleotides) under Globigerinoides ruber albus. Its description in RNAcentral is "partial small subunit ribosomal RNA". Lineage: Eukaryota; Foraminifera; Rotaliida; Globigerinidae. The record is from RNAcentral.
GGUGCAUGGCCGUUCUUAGUUCGUGGAGUGAUCUGUCUGCUUAAUUGCGUUUCAAAUUUUUAACCGAGGACCGGGUUUUGGUUUGGCUAGUGGUCCUACAUGACUGUGAACUGUCAUGUCUUCGAUGUACGACUAUCGGUCUAGGAUCACAUGACUUGCCCCUGGGACUCUUUUGAACGCAACGGACUGAUUGCACCCCUUGUUGAGAUUAAAGAUAGUCUCGAUGUUCACUGGCCAACUGGCUGCUUUAUGCAGUCUUGUUGAAUGGUGGAUAAACUCGGGGGA